UUCCGGUUGAUCCCGCCGGACCUGACUGCUAUCGGAUUGAUACUAAGCCAUGCGAGUCUUUGCAGUAAUGCAAGGCAUACGGCUCAGUAACACGUAGUCAACUUACCCUAUGGACGAGGAUAAUCUCGGGAAACUGAGCAUAAUACUCGAUAGAUCAUAAUGCCUGGAAUGGUUUAUGGUUGAAAUGAUUCGUCGCCAUAGGAUGGGACUGCGGCCUAUCAGCUUGUUGGUGAGGUAAUGGCCCACCAAGGCGAUUACAGGUACGGGCUCUGAGAGGAGAAGCCCGGAGAUGGGUACUGAGACAAGGACCCAGGCCCUAUGGGGCGCAGCAGGCGAGAAAACUUUGCAAUGUGCGAAAGCACGACAAGGUUAAUCCGAGUGAUUUCUGCUAAAGAAAUCUUUUGCAAGUCAUAAAACCACUAGUGAAUAAGGGGUGGGCAAGUUCUGGUGUCAGCCGCCGCGGUAAAACCAGCACCUCAAGUGGUCAGGAGGAUUAUUGGGCCUAAAGCAUCCGUAGCCGGCUCUGUAAGUUUUCGGUUAAAUCCAUGUGCUCAACGCAUGGGCUGCCGAAAAUACUGCAUAGCUAGGGAGUGGGAGAGGUAGACGGUACUCGGUAGGAAGGGGUAAAAUCCUUUGAUCUAUCGAUGACCACCUGUGGCGAAGGCGGUCUACCAGAACACGUUCGACGGUGAGGGAUGAAAGCUGGGGGAGCAAACCGGAUUAGAUACCCGGGUAGUCCCAGCUGCAAACGAUGCAGACUCGAUGAUGCAUUGGCAUAUAGCCAGUGCAGUGUCGCAGGGAAGCCGUUAAGUCUGCCGCCUGGGAAGUACGUACGCAAGUAUGAAACUUAAAGGAAUUGGCGGGGGAGCACCACAAGGGGUGAAGCCUGCGGUUCAAUUGGAAUCAACGCCGGA
Molecule: ribosomal RNA, 914 nt
Filed under: uncultured archaeon
Lineage: Archaea
Description: bacterial SSU rRNA
Rfam family: Archaeal small subunit ribosomal RNA
Source: RNAcentral